UUUACAGUCUACAUGGGUCGGAGUAUAAAAAGGGUAGACUAGUUCGCUUGAAUUCAUCACAAGUUCUUCAAAUUUUUUAAAAAUCACUUUAGGCUUAGCGUCCAAGGCAGUAGCAGCCAAACCACUAGCAGCAAUGGUUCCCAAGAGAAUGUCUUCCGUUUCCCUUUUCCUGGUGGUCGUUUCGCUCUUCGUUCUUAUUAACUUCACUGAUUUCGCUUACUCGCAUCAAGACUGCGAUCAUGGAUUUCGAUUGAAUAGAGAUGAUACCUGUUCGAGUCUUGCCCAAAAAUGUGGCGUUAGCCUGAAAACACUUUUCCACCACAACGGACUUCUACAAUGGGGAAAUAACUGCGGCAAUCAGCCGGGUCAAUACGUUUGCUGCACUAACUGGAAUGGACGCAAAUAAAGACAAAUUCACAAACAAUAACGAAAAUCAUUUUGGCUUUAUCACUUUAUGAAAUUGAAUAUGAAAUCACUCUCUCCUUAUAUCAUUUUUGAUUGGCCUUCUUUUGCACUUGACAUUAGAUAAUACAUAUUCAUCCUUGUGUUGAAUUUUCCGAA
This 561-nucleotide long non-coding RNA is filed under the name Daphnia pulex (common water flea). Its description in RNAcentral is "uncharacterized LOC124209243, transcript variant X2". Lineage: Eukaryota; Metazoa; Arthropoda; Branchiopoda; Diplostraca; Daphniidae. The record is from RNAcentral.